UAAAUGUAGGACGAUAUAUGGCUUAUGAUACAAUUAUGUAAAUUACUUAAAUGCAGGACAAGGAUGCUUUUGCGGCUACGCUUAGAAGAAUAUCAAAAAUACAGAAGACUCAAGAGGCAAACUACGUAGUUUUGAGAGAGAGGUAAACUAUAUCGAUCACAAGAAUGUUACAUCCUCAAGCACCUUCGAAGUUUUAUUUGGCAAAUUCGUGGAUGCAUAAAUGUUGAACUUGUUCUGAAGCUUUUAUUUUUCUUUGUUAUUAUUGAAUAAGAGAGGUGUGGAAGAAUUUUGUAAUCGUUUACAUUUCUUGAAGAGUGUUUUAAACAAUAUUCUGUAUCUUGUUAAUAUCUGGCAGCUUGGUUAUAUUUUCAAAGAUGCUAAUAUUUUGAGUUCGAAGUCUUUCUUGUGGGUGGUAAAAGAUAUUCAAACUUAGGCGAGUGGUAAAUUUUUAUCGGGAAUGAGUUACUCUCAUUAAUACUU
RNAcentral lists this long non-coding RNA (480 nucleotides) under Olea europaea subsp. europaea. The record is from RNAcentral. Lineage: Eukaryota; Viridiplantae; Streptophyta; Magnoliopsida; Lamiales; Oleaceae.